AGAGUUUGAUCAUGGCUCAGGACGAACGCUGGCGGCGCGCUUAACACAUGCAAGUCGAGCGAGAACCAGGGCUUCGGCCCUGGGGACAGCGGCGAACGGGUGAGUAACACGUGGAUAACCUGCCCUCGGCACCGGGAUAGCCCGAGGAAACUCGGAUUAAUACCGGAUAGCCUUUCCGACUCUCGGGUCGGUUUGAAAAGGUAGCUUCGGCCUCUGGCCGAGGAUGGGUCCGCGGCGGAUUAGCUUGUUGGUGGGGUAACGGCCUACCAAGGCUCCGAUCCGUAGCUGGUCUGAGAGGACGAUCAGCCACACUGGGACUGAGACACGGCCCAGACUCCUACGGGAGGCAGCAGUGGGGAAUCUUGCGCAAUGGGCGAAAGCCUGACGCAGCGACGCCGCGUGAGGGAAGAAGGCCUUCGGGUUGUAAACCUCUUUCAGGAGGGACGAAGCUACUCGGGUUAAUAGCCCAGAGGGUGACGGUACCUCCAGAAGAGC
Molecule: ribosomal RNA, 495 nt
Filed under: uncultured Rubrobacterales bacterium
Lineage: Bacteria; Bacillati; Actinomycetota; Rubrobacteria; Rubrobacterales
Description: bacterial SSU rRNA
Rfam family: Bacterial small subunit ribosomal RNA
Source: RNAcentral